CUUGAUAUUCAUAACACGUACUUUCUUCAGGAUGAAGUUGAUCCUAUAUAUGGUCAGUGAUGAAGGUCGAGAAAGCUCCGUUGGAGUCAUACGCUGACAUCGGCGGAUGGGAUGCCCAGAUACAGGAAAUUAAAGAAGCUGUUGAGCUGCCACUGACUCAUCCCGAGCUAUAUGAAGACAUUGGUAUCAGGCCACCUAAGGGAGUCAUAUUGUAUGGAGUGCCAGAAACUGGCAAGAUCUCGCUUGCAAGGGCAGUGGCAAACUCUACAUUAGCAACUUUCUUGCGUGUUGUAUUUUCCCCAAAAUUUUCCAUUUCCCCCUCUCAUCUCAAUUCUCAAGUCGAGUUCACAUCUCAUGCAAAAACAGAAUUUGCAAACCCUUCCCCUUCAAAUUUCACACACACUGCGAAUCGGUGGGUCUCAACUCAAGUCUCAAGUCGAGUUCAAAGUCUCACAGACUCUGCAAAUCCUUCUCCUUCACACAGAAUCUGCAAUUCAGUCGGCCUCAACUCUCAUCUCAUACCCAGUUCCCCUUCAGUUCAUUGCCUGCAUAAUGCUAUUCUUUCCUCUCCACUUCAUUCCAGGUAAAAUGAUUCAAACAAACCCAUUUUUGCCUCUCUCAGAUCCGCCGAUGGAUGUUAUCUGUCAGUUGGACAACCACCGCAUCAGAUCGACAACCAUUGCAUCAGCUGACAACCACCGCAUCACGGAGUCCUCUCGGAUCUUGGCUUUUCCUUUGUUAUUUUUCUAUGAUUUUUGGGUAAUUUUUUUUAACAACUUGUGUGAGUGUGAGUGUGUGUCUUGUUUUUUUUUGUUUUGUAUUUGAUCCCUCAAGAAGCUGAACGUCUCCUCAGGGAACCUGGUAAGUGAUUCACCUUUUUCCCACUAAUUAUUUCGAGCUUGAAUUUGAGAUUGUGCAUAAUUAGUCUACAAGUUUGUGUUAUAAAGAAAAUCAAAGGAAAUGUGAGUUUGAUAGUUGUUUUUAAGACUUGACCAAUUGAUGACACAUGAAACUGAGAUGAAAUUAAGAACUAAGGUCAUCUCUAACUGAAGGGUCCAGAGGGUCAGAGGGCCGAAAAUAGCCUGAAAACCGUCUCCAACUGAGGGCUAUGCCAGAGGGAUGUGGAAUCUGAGAAGGCUCUACGAAAUCGGAGAGGGCUAGAGGGCUGGAGGGCUGGUCAGAAAAUAUAGCAUUCCUAUCGGUUAUAACCUACAGGAUUGCUUAAAAAAAAAUUUUGAAUACAACGGCUAGUCAGUUAGCCGUUGUAUUCAAUUUUUCUUUUUUUUUUUUUGGUUUUUUGGGCCAUUUUUUUUUUUAAUUCUUAAAAAUUCUAA
Molecule: RNA transcript, 1334 nt
Organism: Pyrus x bretschneideri (Chinese white pear)
Lineage: Eukaryota; Viridiplantae; Streptophyta; Magnoliopsida; Rosales; Rosaceae
Gene name: spastin-like
Exons: 2
Source: RefSeq, a predicted model, not a curated record